RNAcentral lists this ribosomal RNA (500 nucleotides) under uncultured bacterium. RNAcentral's name for it is "partial 16S ribosomal RNA". It matches the Rfam family "Bacterial small subunit ribosomal RNA", at positions 30 to 523 of the family's 1533-position model. The record is from RNAcentral.
AUUGAACGCUGGCGGCAUGCCUUACACAUGCAAGUCGAACGGUAACAGGUCUUUCGGGAUGCUGACGAGUGGCGAACGGGUGAGUAAUACAUCGGAACGUGCCUAGUAGUGGGGGAUAACUACUCGAAAGAGUGGCUAAUACCGCAUGAGAUCUAUGGAUGAAAGCAGGGGACCUUCGGGCCUUGUGCUACUAGAGCGGCCGAUGGCAGAGUAGGUAGUUGGUGGGAUAAAAGCUUACCAAGCCUGCGAUCUGUAGCUGGUCUGAGAGGACGAUCAGCCACACUGGGACUGAGACACGGCCCAGACUCCUACGGGAGGCAGCAGUGGGGAAUUUUGGACAAUGGGGGAAACCCUGAUCCAGCAAUGCCGCGUGCAGGAUGAAGGCCUUCGGGUUGUAAACUGCUUUUGUACGGAACGAAAAGUCUUGGGUUAAUACCCUGGGAUCAUGACGGUACCGUAAGAAUAAGCACCGGCUAACUACGUGCCAGCAGCCGCAGUAA